AUUCCAGCUCCAAUAGCGUAUAUUAAAGUUGUUGCAGUUAAAACGCUCGUAGUCGGAUUUCGGGGCCUGCCUGCCGGUCUGCCGAUGGGUAUGCACUGGCAGGCGCGUCCUUCCUUCCGGAGACUGUCCCUACUCUUAACUGAGCGGGGUCGGGAGACGGAUCGUUUACUUUGAAAAAAUCAGAGUGUUUCAAGCAGGCAGCUCGCUCUUGCAUGGAUUAGCAUGGGAUAAUGAAAUAGGACUUUGGUGCCAUUUUGUUGGUUUGCGUGUCGAGAUAAUGAUGAAUAGGGACAGUUGGGGGUAUUUGUAUUCCAUAGUCAGAGGUGAAAUUCUUGGAUUUAUGGAAGACAAACUAAUGCGAAAGCAUCUACCAAGGAUGUUUUCAUUG
This 388-nucleotide ribosomal RNA is filed under the name Haptolina sp. RNAcentral's name for it is "partial small subunit ribosomal RNA". It matches the Rfam family "Eukaryotic small subunit ribosomal RNA", at positions 582 to 975 of the family's 1831-position model. The record is from RNAcentral. Lineage: Eukaryota; Haptophyta; Prymnesiales; Prymnesiaceae.